UUUUCCGAAAGCGGGUUAGGGGCGCGCGCGAGGCGAGGGUUAGGACCAGCGCCCCCGACGCGAUCUCGGGUGUGGGCGUGGUUGGGAUCGGCGGUGUGCGGAGGAGGGAGGGAGGGAGCUGUCGCGGCGUGGAGGAGGGAGGAAGGACGAGCAGGCCUAUCGGCGGCCGGCGGCGUAGGGAAGAGGGGGAAGGAGGAGGUAGGAGGAAGGGCGACCGCGGCUGCUCCCCCCGAGAACGUACCUACCGGCCCAGAAGUUUGGCCCCCAUCUCUUCGUCCCCUCCCUGUUCUUCGGGCGCCACCCCCACCUCGCCGGCCCCCCCGUUCUUCGGCCGCCACCCCCACCUCGUCGGUCCUCCCGGUUCUUCGAUCGCCACCCCAAUCUCCUCGUCCCCUCCCGGUUCUUUCGGCCGGCCGCCGCCGGCCCCGCCCGCGCCUCUCCCGGAUACGUCGCCGGCGCCCGCCCCGCCGCCGCCGGUCCCGGUCCCUCCUGCUCCAACGUAGGUAGUUGCUCUUCGCCGGCUAGGUGGACGCACGGCAGUGACGACCCUAUCGCUUCCAGUCGCUUUUUCCAGUAGCACUCCCGUGUGGCGGCAGAGGGAGAGGGGACCACCGUGGAGGGAUACAUGGUAACUAACACGGAGUCGAAGCAUCGGCUAGAAGAUAGCAGGUACCGUAGUUGUGUGUUUAACUAUUACCUUUGGAGUCCAAAGAAGUCGUCGGACCCCAACAAUUCUUCUCCCAGCCCUAACGGGACCCGUCUACGAAUUUAAGGACCUACAUUUGCGUGUGAACGUAGGAUGUGUCCGGUUUUAUGAUAACCUCGAACGAACACCUUUUUGACCAAGAGCAAGUCAAUACGUACAGUCAGACUAUCUUCUACCUGUGGGGAGAAGUUCAACCAAAUACCCGAACGCCUCACACUCUUUGGGAACUAUGCGGAGGUAGGAAGCAGGGAACGAGGCACCUGGCCUACAGCUCCCUCCCGUUCUCCGCCACUAUACGUCCCCACUCCCUCUACCUCCGCCACUGGACGUCGAGGAUAACUUCCCGUCUCUUCUCCCCCACGAGCACACCUUCUUGCUAGAGUCUUUCUUCUAAAUUGGCUUCUUAGGUUAUCUUCUAAACCACUUCUUGUUCCACUGGUUGAGAGAGAGCACACUUACAAGCAGAGAGAAAACAUCUUUUAACCAAUUUCUCGGGUACAAUAAAAAGAACCGAAUAUAAGUCUUCUAAAAUAAAGACAUGCGGAUGUUCCACAAGCUGCUUUUAGGGUCUUCCGACCGUCCCCUUCUUACUAGAUACAUAUUCCCCUCAACGUAGGGACCAUCUCCACUUCUAGUUCCUCCAGCCGUUUACCCUACUCCAACCCACUACAAGUGAUUCCUCCUUUUUCCACGUACAGGGCCAAAAAAACCACUACCGUUGCCGUAUAAAGGAAGUCACUUCCUUCCUUAAGAGACGGCCUUCGAACCGUGUCCAUACAGACUCGCAGAAUAAACAAUCACAACGAUCGAGACCCUUUACGCACGGCUCACCAACAACCGAACAACGUACAUACAAUAACGAUGUAAUUAAUUAAUUAAAAUCCACUCUCUUUUCCAAAAAACAAAGGAUGCAGCAACAAAGUCAAUCAUCACUUAUAACUACUACGGGUACUUUUUAAAGUUCUGUAGCGACUUGACAUAGAGCAGUAAACUGUUGAAACUAAAGACUAAUCGCACAGCUAGGGGUGGUUAUAAAUACAGUUUUUCCUUUAAUCAACAUUAAACUCUGAAUGAUGUGGUUUUAAUAAGAAAAUUUGUUCCCAUAAUCACGCACCUACCGUCUAGUCCUAGUCGGAGUAUUUUUAGAAUAUAAGGGACUCCUCCAAGAUGGUGCACCUUUGCGAGUCAAAGUACCGUACUAUCAUAGAUUUGUCUUGCUGGAAAAUCAAACAUCUAUUGUUUUGUAUCUCAAUCUACUUUCUGUAUAUACUAAGUGAACAGUGACUUCUCUUUAUUAGUGUAGACCUGUUCGUGGAGUUUUACAGAAAAACAUGUUACGGAGUUUCUUGGUGACCGAUGACUUUCUAUGUGUAUAACCAAAGUCUCAAAAUAAGAAGCACAAGACUUACUCGACUGUCCCUUCUUUAGAACCAAAGUUUCAAGAGAGACAGUCACCGAUCGACUCAGACCAGAUGAAAAGAUUGAAACGAUAGACCGUCUAUAUCGAUAAACUAAAAGGAUAAGUUAAUCCUUCAGAAAACUCCUCCAACUUUACUCAAUAUAAAAACCGUACUAACUACCGAUAAACAUAUAACUCAGUACAAUUACCACAAGAAAUAAACAAGUACCCAGUAUAACAAACAAAUCAGAAUACCAAAUCCGCAAACAGGACUAUCAAAACUAUACACAUAUGUCAGUAAAACCUUAUCCCAUACUAAGAAAAACCCAAAAAGUAAGAUGCGUAACCAAGAUUCUUAGAACUAUAGGUCGACACAACAACAUCUAAACAUUUAAAAGCGAACCCUAGGUAGUUAAGUCAGUACAACCUCAUCCGAUAUACUAAAAAAAUCAAGACUGGUGUAUAGGAAGAACAAAGUCAGACAUGCUAUAGCUUCUGACAACUAGAAACCAGACAAGUGGUACCAAAGGAGGGAAGGAACAAAGACAAUACGAGAACACUACGAGACGUAGACACGAUUAGGUGUGUUGAACGACCAGAGGUUGAAUAAAAAAAAGAGUGGGAGAUGUAAACACAUACAUCAAUACGUACGGGUGAAUUUUUACUUGCUCCGAUUCGACGUCGACGUCGACGUCCAUAUAGAGGAAUUUUAUGGGUACCACAGUCUGCACAAAAUAAGGUGAUGUUGGUUCUUCUAUUUGCACCGUCGACUCGGAUAUCAAGGACGACUCCUUGUAGGGUUCCAACUAUCACUGUGACGUCUACCUCGAAGAGAUUGGCGAUAACUUCUGUGGCAACAAGUAAAAUUGGUCGGUUUCUGUUUUCGCGAUAAUACAUCCGUACGAAAUUUUUGAUCUCAGAAACAGACCAGCUCCUCGGAACGGUUUCGCAAUCACCUUAGAGAGGCUCACCAUACUUCGUAUAAGAUACAUGCAUAGUGGGUCUUCGUCUACUAUUAGUAUAUCUUCGCCUCUUAAUCGGAACGGUUUUACAAACAGUUUAGAAACGAGCUCAUCGGAACGGUUUGAGAUACACAACACAAGAAAUGUACAAAAGUAAAUGUAAGAGGCCACAUUUUAAAGGAAAAGUCAGUUUGUUUUAAAAGAAACGCUAAAAAAACUUGUAUUCAAAAGUAAGUACUUCAAGUGAAUAUCUGCGAGUGAUCCGAACCAAAGUCAACUACUAUCUGCGGGACAAGACCCGAGAGGACUUAAUCGUUUACUACACCACCACUAAGUGAGUGGGGUUAUAGACGGUCGAGAUUAGUCCAGCUACAUUCUAGGAUGGCUACGUUAUACCUUCCCUUCUUCUGCCUCGGUAUUUGUUUUUACUGAACCAUAUAUAGUAUAAAAGGAACUAUCGGGG
Molecule: ribosomal RNA, 3530 nt
Filed under: Triticum aestivum (bread wheat)
Lineage: Eukaryota; Viridiplantae; Streptophyta; Magnoliopsida; Poales; Poaceae
Description: partial small subunit ribosomal RNA
Source: RNAcentral